CCUACGGGAGGCAGCAGUGAGGAAUAUUGGUCAAUGGCCGGGAGGCUGAACCAGCCAAGUCGCGUGAGGGAAGACGGCCCUACGGGUUGUAAACCUCUUUUGUCAGGGAGCAAGGUGCAGGUCGGGACCUGCUGUGAGAGUACCUGAAGAAAAAGCAUCGGCUAACUCCGUGCCAUCAGCCGCGGUAAUACGGGGGAUGCGAGCGUUAUCCGGAUUUAUUGGGUUUAAAGGGUGCGCAGGCGGAGGCACAAGUCAGCGGUAAAAUCGCGGGGCUCAACCCCGCUCCGCGGUUGAAACUGUGUGCCUUGAGUGCGCGAAGGGUAGGCGGAAUGCGUGGUGUAGCGGUGAAAUGCAUAGAUAUCACGCAGAACUCCGAUCGCGAACGCAGGCGACCGGCGCGCAACUGACGCUCAUGCACGAAAGCGUGGGUAUCGAACAGGAUUAGAUACCCCGGUAGUC
Molecule: ribosomal RNA, 459 nt
Filed under: uncultured bacterium
Lineage: Bacteria
Description: partial 16S ribosomal RNA
Rfam family: Bacterial small subunit ribosomal RNA
Source: RNAcentral